RNAcentral lists this ribosomal RNA (253 nucleotides) under uncultured bacterium. RNAcentral's name for it is "partial 16S ribosomal RNA". It matches the Rfam family "Bacterial small subunit ribosomal RNA", at positions 524 to 776 of the family's 1533-position model. The record is from RNAcentral.
UACGUAGGUGGCAAGCGUUGUCCGGAUUUACUGGGCGUAAAGAGCGCGCAGGCGGUCGUACAAGUCGCGUGUGAAAGCCCCCGGCUCAACUGGGGAGGGUCACGCGAUACUGUUCGACUCGAAGGCAGGAGAGGGAAGCAGAAUUCCCGGUGUAGUGGUGAAAUGCGUAGAUAUCGGGAGGAAUACCAGUGGCGAAGGCGGCUUCCUGGCCUGUACUUGACGCUGAGGCGCGAAAGCUAGGGUAGCAAACAGG